CGGAGGGUGCAAGCGUUAUCCGGAUUCACUGGGUUUAAAGGGAGCGCAGGCGGACUGGUGAGUCAGUGGUGAAAUACCUGAGCUUAACUCGGGAACUGCCAUUGAUACUAUCAGUCUUGAAUGUUGUUGAGGUUUGCGGAAUGGGUCAUGUAGCGGUGAAAUGCAUAGAUAUGACCCGGAACACCUAUUGCGAAGGCAGCAGGCUAAACAAAUAUUGACGCUGAGGCUCGAAAGCGUGGGGAUCAAACAGGAUUAGAUACCCUGGUAGUCCACGCCCUAAACGAUGAUUACUCGACAUACGCGAUACACUGUGUGUGUCUGAGCGAAAGCAUUAAGUAAUCCACCUGGGAAGUACGACCGCAAGGUUG
RNAcentral lists this ribosomal RNA (368 nucleotides) under uncultured organism. Its description in RNAcentral is "bacterial SSU rRNA". It matches the Rfam family "Bacterial small subunit ribosomal RNA", at positions 526 to 896 of the family's 1533-position model. The record is from RNAcentral.